This is a long non-coding RNA of Gallus gallus (chicken), 772 nucleotides long. The record is from Ensembl. Lineage: Eukaryota; Metazoa; Chordata; Aves; Galliformes; Phasianidae.
CAGCAUGGUGCUGAUCUGCAGCCCUGCGGCUGCUGGUUGCCUUUGGAGGGCUGCAUUGAAGGAGAGCAUGGAAGGAGAGCAUUUAGCUUCAGCUAAAUGAAGGAGGGCAUGAUCACGGAAUCAUAGAAAAGCUCACAGCAUCUCCUGGAGGAGCCUGACCUGGUGACGAAGCCCUACAACACACUGUCGCUGGUCUGCAGCAGUUUUGAUCCCACCGUCAUACAGUGUUGCAUGGACGUGACCAAGGGCAGCUCUGUGGGAGGAAGCCAGGAGGAGAAACCUAAAGGAUCCCGUGCUCCUUGCACAGCAGUGCUGGCUGCUUUGUUCACCACCAGAAAGAAGGGAAACAGGUCAGUUCAACACCCCCAAACCUGGCAUUAGCAGUCAGUGCCCCACGUGGAGCCAUCAGGAUCAUCUCCAAAUGACGUGGCACGUCAGUCCUGCUGGAGCUAUGGCCAGGGCUGACGUUUUCCAUUACCAGAAGGGAGGGUGGGGAAAAGUAUUUUUAACAUGUAUUUAUAGACCUCACCGUGAUGCAGUUUUUCCCAAACUUCGGGUGAAGAACAAUGGACAAAGAGCUUUGUGUUAGGGCUGCUGGUUAGGAACAACAGGAGCACGGCUCCUGUGGGGAAGGAAAAGUACUGGAAGGCCACCAUGAGGUGUCCCCGCAGCCUUCUCUUCUCCAAGCUCCACCUCCCACUGCUGCUGGGAGGUUUGCUGGACUUCAUCCCCUGUGCUCUUGCCAAAAGAAGAAACAAUAAAUCCUCCUGCA